RNAcentral lists this unclassified non-coding RNA (269 nucleotides) under Hevea brasiliensis (rubber tree). The record is from RNAcentral. Lineage: Eukaryota; Viridiplantae; Streptophyta; Magnoliopsida; Malpighiales; Euphorbiaceae.
CUUUAUCUCCAAGUCUGAGACAGAAAAUUGUCUCUCUCUCCUCUAUCUUCCCUCUCACCAUCGCAUGAAUUCAAACCCUAUCACUUUCCUUCACUAGAUGAUAAUGGGGCUUCGAGCCGUUAACACUUGUUCCCUCAUUCGCACCGCUUCUUCAACUCCUCUUUUUGCGCUUCAGUGCUGUUUUGGCCAUACCAAGACCUUGCAAUUUAGUGGUUACAUUAAAUUUGGAUUUCAGCCCAACAUAUUUCGCAGCGAGUCAUUUUACAGUC